RNAcentral lists this ribosomal RNA (800 nucleotides) under uncultured bacterium. RNAcentral's name for it is "bacterial SSU rRNA". It matches the Rfam family "Bacterial small subunit ribosomal RNA", at positions 8 to 856 of the family's 1533-position model. The record is from RNAcentral.
AGAGUUUGAUCAUGGCUCAGAACGAACGCUGGCGGCAGGCCUAACACAUGCAAGUCGAGCGCCCCGCAAGGGGAGCGGCGGACGGGUGAGUAACACGUGGGAAUUUUCCUCAAGGUACGGAACAACUCAGGGAAACUUGGGCUAAUACCGUAUGAUGCAGAGAUGCCAAAGAUUUAUCGCCUUGGGAUAAGCCCGCGUCAGAUUAGGUAGUUGGUGGGGUAAUGGCCUACCAAGCCUGUGAUCUGUAGCUGGUCUGAGAGGACGAUCAGCCACAUUGGGACUGAGACACGGCCCAAACUCCUACGGGAGGCAGCAGUGGGGAAUCUUGCGCAAUGGGCGAAAGCCUGACGCAGCCAUGCCGCGUGAAUGAUGAAGGUCUUAGGAUUGUAAAGUUCUUUCGCCCGUGACGAUGAUGACGGUAACGGGAGAAGAAGCCCCGGCUAACUUCGAGCCAGCAGCCGCGGUAAUACGAAGGGGGCUAGCGUUGUUCGGAAUUACUGGGCGUAAAGCGCGCGUAGGCGGUUUUGCAAGCCAGAGGUGAAAUGCCCGAGCUCAACUUGGGAAUUGCCUUUGGGACUGUGAGGCUAUGAGGACGAGAGAGGUGAGUGGAAUUCCCAGUGUAGAGGUGAAAUUCGUAGAUAUUGGGAAGAACACCGGUGGCGAAGGCGGCUCACUGGCUCGUUUCUGACGCUAAAGCGCGAAAGCGUGGGGAUCAAACAGGAUUAGAUACCCUGGUAGUCCACGCUGUAAACGAUGAGUGCUAGGCGUCGGCAGGCUUGCCUGUCGGUGCCGCAGCUAAC